GACGAACGCUGGCGGCGUGCUUAACACAUGCAAGUCGAACGGAAAGGCCCUGCUUUUGUGGGGUGCUCGAGUGGCGAACGGGUGAGUAACACGUGAGUAACCUGCCCUUGACUUUGGGAUAACUUCAGGAAACUGGGGCUAAUACCGGAUAGGAGCUCCUGCUGCAUGGUGGGCGUUGGAAAGUUUCGGCGGUUGGGGAUGGACUCGCGGCUUAUCAGCUUGUUGGUGGGGUAGUGGCUUACCAAGGCUUUGACGGGUAGCCGGCCUGAGAGGGUGACCGGCCACAUUGGGACUGAGAUACGGCGCAGACUCCUACGGGCGGCAGCAGUGGGGAAUAUUGCACAAUGGGCGGAAGCCUGAUGCGGCAGCGCCGCGUGCGGGAUGACCGCCUUCGGGUUGUGAACCGCUUUCGCCUGUGACGAAGCGUGAUUGACGGUAAUGGGUAAAGAAGCACCGGCUAACUACGUG
Molecule: ribosomal RNA, 468 nt
Filed under: uncultured bacterium
Lineage: Bacteria
Description: partial 16S ribosomal RNA
Rfam family: Bacterial small subunit ribosomal RNA
Source: RNAcentral